ACGAGGUAAAUAGUUGUUUCAAUGGAGGCAGUCGCAAUUCCACACAACAUACUCAUCGGAUUCGAUUAGCUAUGCGUAUAUUUGCUAUACACACGCUUUAGAAUUUAUUCUCCUUUCAACACUGUGAACAAAUCAGAGUGUAUCAAACAUGUCGUUUUUGAAUGUGCAUUGAAUGUCUUAUCAUGGGAUGUUGCACUUUCUGCGUUAAAAAUUUAUUACUGCUUCGUGCUGUAAUUAUUUUUUUACACACACACACACACACAUACGCACAUGUUGUAUGCCACGUAAAUAAUUUUUAACGGUUAAAAAUGUCGAUGGGGAUAGUUGGAGUCAACAGUACUGCUGGGCGAGAGGUGAAAUUCAUUGACCCUAGCAAGACUACCAAAAGCGAAAGCAGUUGGCUAGGCUAUACUCUUUGUGAUUAUAUAUAUUUUAUCACGCAUAAAUAUACACACACACACAUACACACUCACGUAUAUACAUGCGGUCAGUAUAUAUACAUACACUUUACAAUGAAGAACGAAGGUUGGGGGAUCAAAGAGGAUCAGAUACCCUCGUCGUCCCAUUAAUUACAUCAAACGAUGGGCUCUCAAUUGCAUUUUUCAUUAAAUUGCAAAUUUCCUCAGCCUACAAAAUGACUUGGCUUGAGCUCGUAUUUUUAAUACGCUCGCCUAACUUUUUCGUAUGGUCUCGAUGGACGUUUCAUUUAAAAUUUUUUUGCGUGUAAGCAUUUGUUAUUCUUUGAAACAUAAGAAUGCAUUGCGUGCACUUGAUUUUCGGAGCUUUGCGCUCAAUUCUGGUGAGAUGUAAGCACUGUGUCAUACUACCCGCAGCGUAUAUCUUCGGGUAUUUCGUCUGUCGUGUGCAGUUGACAAUUUUGGUGUGAAGCACGCUUUAGGCACGCGCUUACUGCAGAAAUGUCUGAGACAUUCCCCUCCGGGGGUAGUAUGCACGCAAGUGUGAAACUUGAAGGAAUUGACGGAAGGGCACCACAAGAACGCGUGGAGCAUGUGGCUUAAUUUGACCCAACGCGGGAAAUCUUACCGGGUCCGGACACACUGAGGAUUGACAGGCAAUAUUAAUACAUUAAUAAAUUUUUCGUCAAAGUUGUUAUGUUAAAUAUGCUAGUCCUUUCAUGAUUAUGUGAUAGGUGGUGCAUGGCCGUUCUUAGUUCGUGGAGUGAUCUGUCUGCUUAAUUGCGUUUCACCAAGGGCCUAUAAUUUUACGUGUGUUGCGGCACUUUGACCCCUCUUUUUUUAAAGAGCGCGUGUCUUGGUUUGCUUAGCUCGCACAAUUAGGUCCUGAAAGCAACGAACGUGACCGCAACCUCUUGUUGCCUUUAUACCAAACGUGCAUAUGUAAUUAAAAUUGCUUUGCGCGCAAAAAGGCUUUUUAAACUAGAGGGACCGCUGUUACUUUCUUAAACCAGAGGAAGGUUGCGGCAAUAACAGGUCUGUGAUGCCCUUAGAUGUUCCGGGCUGCACACGUGCUACAAUGAUUAUUGCAGUGAGCAUCUCAUUUUUUACACACCGCAUACGCGAGACCAUUUAUUCACCUUCGGGUGCUUUAAAUGUGUUUUCUCUGCGAGCGGUAAAGCCUGCUUCGAAAGUAAGUGGGUAAUCAAUUAGAAGUAAUGAUUUCCUUUUUUUAGCACACAUAUAUACGGCGUCUAUGCCCGGGUUACCUUGUUGUAGCUUUUGUGCGUAUAGAUGUUUUUUCCGUAUUUUCCGUAUGUGCGAUUGUCAAUUCAUGGUGGGGACAGACCAUUGUUAAUUGUUGGUCUCGGUCUUAACUAGGAAUGCCUUGUACGGGUCUUUGGUUCAACAAACCACCCGGAAUACGUCCCUGCCCUUUGUACACACCGCCCGUCGCUCUUACCGAUGGACUUCUCUGUGAGUUUGAGGACUGGGAACGCAUAUAAUUUCGAUUAUUUGCACACCUAUGGAAACUUAAACGAACAGUGUGGUCUAAAGGAAAGAGAAGUCGUAAC
This 1990-nucleotide ribosomal RNA is filed under the name uncultured eukaryote. Its description in RNAcentral is "partial small subunit ribosomal RNA". It matches the Rfam family "Eukaryotic small subunit ribosomal RNA", at positions 642 to 1795 of the family's 1831-position model. The record is from RNAcentral.